Rhipicephalus microplus (southern cattle tick) is the source of this 440-nucleotide long non-coding RNA. The record is from RefSeq and is a predicted model, not a curated record. NCBI's taxonomy places the organism in Eukaryota, Metazoa, Arthropoda, Arachnida, Ixodida, Ixodidae.
UAAGCUGUUCCUUUUCAGCGGUUGUGGCGGAAACAGUAACCGAUUCAACACGGAACUAAAGUGCCAGGAAACCUGCCUACCUGGCAAGACGCCGCAGUCUCUCUGCAGCCUUCUACCAAGCCCGGUGCGAUGCAAAAAGCCAUUUUGUUUACGUUGGUACUUCAACCCCAAAACACACCUAUGCCAGAAGUACGGGCGUGGUUACGGUGCAGGAAAUGUGAACAGUUUCUCGACAUGCGUAAAAUGCAUGACUAGAUGUAGCAUUAUUCAAGCUGUGGAGACCUGUCGCUUGAUUCACAAAAAAAUGGAAGACAUGAAGAAACACAGGGGCAGAAGACUGGACUGACAAUAUACCGAACUUUGUAAGUGUGCAGCAUUUUAUGGGUCCGGCAUCUAACCCAUUCAUGGAUUUCAUGUGGUGUCAUCCGGCUGAAAAUAAA